RNAcentral lists this ribosomal RNA (253 nucleotides) under uncultured prokaryote. RNAcentral describes it as "partial 16S ribosomal RNA". It matches the Rfam family "Bacterial small subunit ribosomal RNA", at positions 525 to 777 of the family's 1533-position model. The record is from RNAcentral.
ACGGAGGGUGCAAGCGUUAUCCGGAUUCACUGGGUUUAAAGGGCGCGUAGGCGGCCUGGCAAGUGGAAGGUGAAAUCCCUCGGCUUAACCGAGGAACUGCCCUCCAAACUGCUUGGCUUGAGACCGGGAGAGGUGAGUGGAAUUCCCAGUGUAGCGGUGAAAUGCGUAGAUAUUGGGAGGAACACCAGUGGCGAAGGCGGCUCACUGGACCGGUACUGACGCUGAGGCGCGAAAGCGUGGGGAGCAAACGGGA